Pogona vitticeps (central bearded dragon) is the source of this 2050-nucleotide non-coding RNA. NCBI's taxonomy places the organism in Eukaryota, Metazoa, Chordata, Lepidosauria, Squamata, Agamidae. The record is from RefSeq and is a predicted model, not a curated record.
GAUACCUCGUCUGGUGGUUCGUUUAACAGUGGCGCUUGCUUUGCCACUUCAUCGUGUGCUUUGCACUUCCCAUUAUCUCGGGGUGUCACUUGUCAAAGGUGGGGAGGGGGGAGGACGUACGGAAAGGUGACAGUGACACUGAUGGUUUUUCUAAGGACCUUAUGUUUUUUUUUUAAGUACAGCACAAAAUAACGUUCAUUUUCCGUUACGUCUUCCACUUCCGCAGGUGUCCGCUCCCAGUCCCAGAGGCUGCCAUGAAAAAGGUGACACACGAGGAGUCAAAAAUUUCGGGGGACUGAGCGGGGAAAACCCAAGAGCCUGCAAACCGUCUUCUCGCUCGAGCCCUGAUCACGAACCGACCGCCGGUCUGCAAUUGAUCAGAAAGAAGGCUGGAACAAACUUGGAGAGGCUUUGCCGAAAUUAGUAAGACUUGCAAACAGGCACGGGCCUGAAAGGCACGUCGAACGAUUGUAAGGGCUUUCCGAUAUUUCGUGGCGGCUUCAGAUGCUGUCUCGUCGUGCGUUCGAGAGAAAAAGUGCUGUAUUAAUUUUUCAAAGGAGGGUUAAGAAAGAAGGAAAGAUCGUUGCCCUGGAUGAGAACCCUCUUAAUUUUGGCGCCUUCUUAGACGCGGGCAGAGUGCGCCAAGGACCGGGGAAGUCUCCUUAAGUGGGUCCAGCGGGAAACGAGAGAAUCCUGACCUUAAGGACCUACAUUUCGUUGGUGGUCAAUGUAACGUUUUUACUUUGCCGGGUCUUGUGAGAAAUAAUUGCCUCAAGGGAGGCCGAAGACCGCCCCACAAGCGACCUGGAGGGUCGCGGGUUUCCGGGUCCAAUCGGCAGAGACCCGGUCCUCAAAGCGAAGGCAGAUCCCCGCCAACCGCGGUCUCCAGAUCCACAAAGCGGUGGAGAUCUCCGACAGCAGCCGGUGCGGGGGAGAGAGGGAGGGGGCACAUGACUGAAGGCAAUUCCUGGGGUGGCUGGUUUCCACACACACACACACACACUAUUUCAUUUAUCUCUCCGCCACCCCUGCCAUCGUUCUAGUUGGGGCUCCCCUCCUUUGCUCGCUUCGGGACCUGGCUUGCCUUUACUCCCUGUUCAUCAACGGGCCGACCCGCAAGCCGAAGCAGCCGCAGUCCCCGGGACGAGGAGCGGCGAAUGGGGCCAGCGCGGGGCGGGCAGAGGCGACCCCAUCGCCGGCUUGCCUUCCCUCCCCACUCGCGCGUGGUGUGCCAGGCUCUCAGCGGCCCGCGGGGCGACAGGGCGCAGGUCCCUUGGAGCUGUCCGGAAGGAUCCGGAGCUAAUUGAACUUGACGAGGAGCGCGGAAAGCGCCCCUGGCCCAGCCAGCCUUACAGCGGCAGCCUCCGCAGGCCGGCCGGCAGGCGCACGAGGUCCGGCGGGCGAGCGGUGGAGGGAGAAGGGCGGAGGCUUGGGCCCCGGGGGAAAGGGCCCGAGGGGGGGAAUCUACCGGAGGGACCCCGUCGACAAUGCAUCGGGAUCGUUCUACAUGCCAAAAUCCUUAUUAAACGCCCCGGAGUGAGCAGGGCGAAGAAAUAGGUCGUAACUCGCCUUGUUGGGUCUGAAAGAAUUGUGCUAAGCCGCCAGGUUGCGUACAUACGCUAUUUUUAUUAUGGCGGUAUUGAUAGCGUUAUGAUUGUUAAUCAGCGCGGUUAUUAUCUGGUAUCAGCAUUAAGACUGGCGAUUUUCUGCCCAUCGUCCAAAAAGCCUUUGGAUCAGACCGCAUCAUGAUCAAGCUUCUAAAAUACUUCAGAAAUGUGUAAUGAUAUAAGAAAUAACGACGGCGGAUAAUUGUUAUUUCUAUUAAGCAGAUGUAUUGGAGUUCCUCCAUUACAGUAUUUCUUUCGUACUCGGGGGCCCUUGCGCUCCUGUUGCAAAGAAAUUCAUUUUGAAGUUCAGUCCUGUUUACGCCCAUGUGACGAAACUAAGCACAGUCGUUAAUAGAUUACUAGAUCCUCCCGCUUUCUCUUUAUUAUCCGAUUGUCUUUAUUAGGAUGCGUAUUGCUGCCUGUGCCAGGAUCGCCAUCAGACU